RNAcentral lists this transfer RNA (74 nucleotides) under Elusimicrobia bacterium CG06_land_8_20_14_3_00_38_11. RNAcentral describes it as "tRNA-Arg". It matches the Rfam family "tRNA". Rfam says of the family: Transfer RNA (tRNA) molecules are approximately 80 nucleotides in length. Their secondary structure includes four short double-helical elements and three loops (D, anti-codon, and T loops). The record is from RNAcentral. Lineage: Bacteria; Pseudomonadati; Elusimicrobiota.
GCGUCCGUAGCUCAAUUGGAUAGAGCGACUGGCUUCGAACCAGUAGGUUGGGAGUUCAACUCUCCCCGGAUGCU